GGCCGCGAAUUCGCCCUUCCGACUCCUACGGGAGGCAGCAGUGAGGAAUAUUGGUCAAUGGUCGAGAGACUGAACCAGCCAAGUCGCGUGAAGGAAGACGGCUCUAUGAGUUGUAAACUUCUUUUGUACAGGAGUAAAGUGAGACACGAGUGUUUUAUUGCAAGUACUGUACGAAUAAGCAUCGGCUAACUCCGUGCCAGCAGCCGCGGUAAUACGGAGGAUGCAAGCGUUAUCCGGAUUUAUUGGGUUUAAAGGGUGCGUAGGCGGUAUUACAAGUCAGGGGUGAAAUCUUGGUGCUUAACAUUAAAAUUGCCUUUGAAACUGUGGUACUUGAGUGUAAAAGAGGUAGGCGGAAUGUGUUGUGUAGCGGUGAAAUGCAUAGAUAUAACACAGAACCCCGAUUGCGAAGGCAGCUUACUAUCAUACAACUGACGCUGAUGCACGAAAGCGUGGGGAUCAAACAGGAUUAGAUACCCUGGUAGUCCACGCAGUAAACGAUGAUUACUAGCUGUUAGCGAUAUAUUGUUAGUGGCUAAGCGAAAGCGAUAAGUAAUCCACCUGGGGAGUACGUUCGCAAGAAUGAAACUCAAAGGAAUUGACGGGGGCCCGCACAAG
RNAcentral lists this ribosomal RNA (615 nucleotides) under uncultured bacterium. RNAcentral's name for it is "bacterial SSU rRNA". It matches the Rfam family "Bacterial small subunit ribosomal RNA", at positions 314 to 929 of the family's 1533-position model. The record is from RNAcentral.